CUUUAAAUCUGAUAAAACUUUUUCAGAAAACUAUUGAUUCUAAAAUUAGUAAAUGAUUUUUGAAAAUUACUUCUUACUUCAUAACAAUACGUUUCUUAAAUCUUAGAUCGUUUUAUCUUUCAAUUCUUUUAAUUUUGCAGACUUAAUAUUGCCUCUUUCCCAACACUCUAUUUCUAGUUCUACAUCAGUUGUUUCAAAAUGAUCAGUUUCUGAUUUUGAAGACGAAUUACCUCAGCAACCUAACCAAAAAAAAAUUGAAACUGUUUACGCCAGCCCUCAUAUCUGCGCUAAAUAGAUCAAAAACAACAGAUAGAAAUGCAUGGCAUAUCAUCGUUGCCGUUGUUUCCGCCCUGGGACAUGAAGCAGAUCAAGUACCUAGUCAUAGUACAAUUCGUCGUCAUCGUAUAGAAGGACGAAAACAGAUUGCUAAUGAUUUGAAAGAAAAUUUACGAACUGCUUCUAGUUUCGUCGUGCACUGGGACGGUAAAAUGCUGCCUGAUAUUGUUGACAAAGAUAAAGUUGAUCGACUUCUGAUUUUAAUAUCUGGUAUCAAUACUUAGCAGUUAUUAGCUGUACCUAAGCUUGAAAAAUCGACUGGAAUAAAUCAAACAUUGAUUAUGACUGAAACAUUAGACGAAUGGAAUAUCACAGAACGAGUUAAGGCUAUGUGUUUUGAUACACCUUCAGUGAACACAGGAGAUUACAAUGGAACUUGUGUCUUACUAGAAAAGCAGUGAGACAAAAAAUUGUUACAUUUGGCAUGUCGUCACCAUAUUUUUGAACUAACGCUAAGAAACGUAGUUGAAUGCAUUUGGCCAGUAACAAAAUCUCCAAACGUAGCUAUUUUCGAACGUUUUCGAAAUAAAUGGCACACCAUGGAUAAAAAUAAGUUUGUAACUGGCUUGAAAGAUAAAUUUGUCAAUGAUGUGAUUGGAAGUAAGCAAACUGAAAUCCUUCAAAAUAUUCAAGAUCGCUUGCAGCACCAAUAUGUAAGAGAUGACUAUAAGGAGCUAUUGGAGUUGUCAUAUAUUUUUUUAGGUGGAAUUCCAACUCAAGGAGUGAAAUUCAAAGCUCCCAGUGCAAACCAUUAUGCUUGUUGGCUUGCUAAAGCUUUAUCUAUUUAUAUAUUUAUUUAUUU
Molecule: long non-coding RNA, 1138 nt
Organism: Cotesia glomerata
Lineage: Eukaryota; Metazoa; Arthropoda; Insecta; Hymenoptera; Braconidae
Exons: 3
Source: RefSeq, a predicted model, not a curated record